ACGGAAGGCAGCAGUGGGGAAUAUUGCACAAUGGGGGAAACCCUGAUGCAGCGACGCCGCGUGAAGGAAGAAGUAUCUCGGUAUGUAAACUUCUAUCAGCAGGGAAGAUAAUGACGGUACCUGACUAAGAAGCCCCGGCUAACUACGUGCCAGCAGCCGCGGUAAUACGUAGGGGGCGAGCGUUAUCCGGAUUUACUGGGUGUAAAGGGAGCGUAGACGGCGUAUCAAGUCUGGUGUGAAAGGCAGGGGCUUAACCCCUGGACUGCAUUGGAAACUGGUAUGCUUGAGUGCCGGAGGGGUAAGCGGAAUUCCUAGUGUAGCGGUGAAAUGCGUAGAUAUUAGGAGGAACACCAGUGGCGAAGGCGGCUUACUGGACGGUAACUGACGUUGAGGCUCGAAAGCGUGGGGAGCAAACAGGAUUAGAUACCCUGGUA
RNAcentral lists this ribosomal RNA (434 nucleotides) under uncultured Blautia sp. RNAcentral describes it as "bacterial SSU rRNA". It matches the Rfam family "Bacterial small subunit ribosomal RNA", at positions 341 to 792 of the family's 1533-position model. Lineage: Bacteria; Bacillati; Bacillota; Clostridia; Lachnospirales; Lachnospiraceae. The record is from RNAcentral.